This is a long non-coding RNA of Trachemys scripta elegans, 1840 nucleotides long. RefSeq lists it as uncharacterized. NCBI's taxonomy places the organism in Eukaryota, Metazoa, Chordata, Testudines, Emydidae. The transcript is spliced from 4 exons. The record is from RefSeq and is a predicted model, not a curated record.
GAGCUAAUUCCCUGGACGACCAGCAGGAGGCGCCGCAGGGAUACCUGGUCACAGGCUGUGGAUCGCCUUGAAGAUAAGGACCGAGAUCAUGACUUUGAUUUACAAUUCUAUGGGAAGCCAGCGCAGAGGGCGGCAGAGAGGAGCGAUGUGCUUGUGGUAGCCCAUGUUGCUAAGGAGAUGGGCUGCGGCAUUCUGUACUAGCUGGAGUUUCCUAGGUGCUGAAUUCUUCAUGCCCAGGAGCUCGGAGGGAGAGAGAGAGCAGCCCACAGGCCCUGGAAAAGGAAGCAGGAGAGAACCUGCCGGAAGCCUGGGGAGGGCAGGGCGGCUGAUCGGGGACAGCCCAAGACAGGCGUCAGGAGGAGCACUAUACCAGGGAGGAAUUGCCCGAGAAGGACAGGCCAGAACUGGACCCAGUAUCACGGCUGCCCAGAGCUGCAUGGGGCUAUAAAGGCCCCCAUCAAAAGCUGUGUAUUAAACCAUGGAGGCAGAUGAGGAAUUGAUUCUCAACAUGAGUUCUCUACCUUCCCCAGAGUCCCACCAUUCUGCAGGACACAAGAGGUUCUGCAAGCCAUUGCCCGGCAAGGACAAGUGGCAAUCUAAAGUUCUGAAAAGAAAGCUCCAAAGGGCAGAAAAGGCACACCUUCAAAGCAGAAACCCAAGUUGUCAGUAUCCCCAAUCAAGAAAUGCACUAAGGAGACUGACAUCUGCGUGAAGGGCAUGGUAGCACUAUGUACUCACUCCAAGGAAGCAGAUCUUGAUAAAGUGCCCAAGGAGGUGCAAGGAGAAGGUAGUCCCUGGACAAUUCUGGGGGCAGAGCAAUCCCCUCCUAGUGUGCCUGAGUCACUUGAGGUGGAUUCUUUAGCGCAGAAAUUGCAAGCUCUGAUGGUGGAUAAGAAGUGGACAAGAGAAGAAUUAAUUUUGGCAUUAGGAGGGGCUCCAACACCUGCAGCACCCAGCCUGGUGGGAUGGGCCAAAGAGCUGGGAAACGCUCUAAAAGAUGCAUUGAAACUGGUAUACGAAAGUGCUCCAUGCAAGCGGUUACGUUCUUUCUUGGGAGUGUCACCUGUACCCUCAGGGGAGGAUGAUUACAAGACCUGGAGGGAUUUUACGGUGCCACUUGUCCAAGAGUGGGAAUGCUCUGAUGCUGAGAAGCGGAAACGUGUGCUUGAGAGUCUGAGGGACCUGCCAUGCGAAUUAUCCGAGCUCUGAAAGACUCCCAACCAGCUGCCACAGUGCAAGACUAUUUAACCGCUCUUGAGAGUGUCUACGGUGCUACUGAUAGCAGUGAACACCUGUAUUAUCGUUUCCGCCAUACCUAUCAGGAGCCCCACGAACGAUUGUCGGAUUUCAUCAGGAGACUAGAGGAUUUGCUACAGCAGGUAGUGCGGAAGGAGGGCAUCCCCACCAAGUGCAUUGAUUCUGCUAGGUUGGACCAAAUCCUUUGGGGCACCCGACAAGAUGGGCUGAUGUUGUGGCGACUGCAGCUGAGGGAGUGGGCCCAAAACCCACCCCCAUUCCACAAGCUCAUUCGAGAGAUACGUGAAGAGGAGGAGCGAUUGUUGCAAGUGGAUGUAGUGGUACAGCCGAAGAUGGCAGGGAGUCACACCACCACAGUGCUUAGAGAGAUGGAAGAGGCCCCAGAAUAGCUAGGGAUGGCCCUGCUCCUACUCUCUGUUUGUAAGAGGGGACUGUAAUACUUUGGUCUUGUUUCAGUUGUGGGGUUUAGUGUGUGGACGUGGGUGGUGCUGGUGACCUGUGAUAUACAGGAGAUCAGACUAGAUCAGGGGUAGGCAACCUAUGGCACGCGUGCCGAAGGCGGCACGCGAGCUGAUUUUCAGUG